Molecule: ribosomal RNA, 854 nt
Filed under: uncultured Actinomycetes bacterium
Lineage: Bacteria; Bacillati; Actinomycetota; Actinomycetes
Description: bacterial SSU rRNA
Rfam family: Bacterial small subunit ribosomal RNA
Source: RNAcentral
CCGCGGGAUUGAGUUUGAUCCUGGCUCAGAAUCAACGCUGGCGGCGUGCCUAACACAUGCAAGUCGCACGAGAAAGGGGACUUCGGUCCCUGAGUAAAGUGGCGCACGGGUGAGUAACACGUGAAUAAUCUACCUCCGAGUGGGGAAUAACUCCGGGAAACCGGGGCUAAUACCGCAUAACACUUACGAGUCAAAGCAGCAAUGCGCUUGGAGAGGAGUUCGCGGCAGAUUAGUUAGUUGGCGGGGUAAUGGCCCACCAAGACGAUGAUCUGUAUCCGGCCUGAGAGGGCGCACGGACACACUGGAACUGAAACACGGUCCAGACUCCUACGGGAGGCAGCAGUGGGGAAUUUUGCGCAAUGGGGGAAACCCUGACGCAGCAACGCCGCGUGGAGGAUGAAAUCCCUUGGGAUGUAAACUCCUUUCGAUCGGGAAGAUAAUGACGGUACCGAGAGAAGAAGCCCCGGCUAACUUCGUGCCAGCAGCCGCGGUAAUACGAGGGGGGCAAGCGUUGUUCGGAAUUAUUGGGCGUAAAGGGUGCGUAGGCGGUUUGAUAAGUUUGGUGUGAAAUCUCUGGGCUCAACCCAGAGUCUGCAUCGAAAACUGUCGGGCUUGAGUAUGGGAGAGGUGAGUGGAAUUUCCGGUGUAGCGGUGAAAUGCGUAGAUAUCGGAAGGAACACCUGUGGCGAAAGCGGCUCACUGGACCAUAACUGACGCUGAUGCACGAAAGCUAGGGGAGCAAACAGGAUUAGAUACCCUGGUAGUCCUAGCCCUAAACGAUGAUUGCUUGAUGUGGUGGGUACCCAAUCCCGCCGUGUCGAAACUAACGCGAUAAGCAAUCCGCCUGGGGAGUA